AAACAUCGCCUCUUGAAAGCCAUGAGAGGUCCAGCCUGCCCAGUGACAUUGUUCAACGGCCGCGGUAUCCUAACCGUGCGAAGGUAGCGUAAUCACUUGUCCUUUAAAUGGGGACUAGUAUGAAUGGCAUCACGAAGGUUAUACUGUCUCCUUUUUCCAAUCAGUGAAACUAAUCUUCCCGUGAAGAAGCGGGAAUAUAUUUAUAAGACGAGAAGACCCUAUGGAGCUUUAAACAAAACAACAUUUGCUAUCACACACGCCAAUUUCAGAAAAUCAACCUUUAUUUUUAGCACUAUAAUUGUUAGUUUUAGGUUGGGGUGACCGCGGAGUAAAAAAUAACCUCCACAAUGAAUGGGGACUUCCCCUAAGCAAAAAACCACAACUUUAUGCAUCAACAAAUUGACAUCAAUUGACCCAAUAUUUUGAUCAACGAAACAAGUUACCCUAGGGAUAACAGCGCAAUCCACUUCGAGAGCUCGUAUCAACAAGUGGGUUUACGACCUCGAUGUUGGAUCAGGGUACCCCAGUGGUGCAGCCGCUACUAAAGGUUCGUUUGUUCAACGAUUAAAACCCUA
RNAcentral lists this ribosomal RNA (575 nucleotides) under Gastrotheca ochoai (Chilica marsupial frog). RNAcentral's name for it is "partial 16S ribosomal RNA". It matches the Rfam family "Bacterial large subunit ribosomal RNA", at positions 1811 to 2598 of the family's 2925-position model. The record is from RNAcentral. Lineage: Eukaryota; Metazoa; Chordata; Amphibia; Anura; Hemiphractidae.